This 201-nucleotide unclassified non-coding RNA is filed under the name Hevea brasiliensis (rubber tree). Lineage: Eukaryota; Viridiplantae; Streptophyta; Magnoliopsida; Malpighiales; Euphorbiaceae. The record is from RNAcentral.
UCUUCUAUUAAUAUUAAGCCUCUUCGUCUUGCUCUUUAGCAAAGAAUCUUAGAGGUUGAUCCAUGGCUGAUAUCAAUAUCCAGGGAAAAAAAAAAGGAAAAGCAAAAAUCUUUUUUUGGAAAAAAGGGUAAUGAGAGAACUCAUUACAAGGACUAGGUAGAAAUUAUGAAAUCUUGCUUUCUUUUUCAGACAUCCCACAUG